RNAcentral lists this ribosomal RNA (714 nucleotides) under uncultured Lactobacillus sp. RNAcentral describes it as "bacterial SSU rRNA". It matches the Rfam family "Bacterial small subunit ribosomal RNA", at positions 28 to 699 of the family's 1533-position model. The record is from RNAcentral. Lineage: Bacteria; Bacillati; Bacillota; Bacilli; Lactobacillales; Lactobacillaceae.
GAUGAACGCCGGCGGUGUGCCUAAUACAUGCAAGUCGAGCGCACUGGCCAACUGAUAUGACGUGCUUGCACUGAUUUGACGAUGGAUUACCAGUGAGCGGCGGACGGGUGAGUAACACGUGGGCAACCUGCCCUAAAGCGGGGGAUAACAUUUGGAAACAGGUGCUAAUACCGCAUAACUACGAAAACCACAUGGUUUUCGUAUCAAAGAUGGUUUCGGCUAUCACUUUAGGAUGGGCCCGCGGUGCAUUAGCUAGUUGGUAGGGUAACGGCCUACCAAGGCAAUGAUGCAUAGCCGAGUUGAGAGACUGAUCGGCCACAAUGGAACUGAGACACGGUCCAUACUCCUACGGGAGGCAGCAGUAGGGAAUCUUCCACAAUGGGCGCAAGCCUGAUGGAGCAACACCGCGUGAGUGAAGAAGGGCUUCGGCUCGUAAAACUCUGUUGUUGAAGAAGAACGUGCAUGAGAGUAACUGUUCAUGCAGUGACGGUAUUCAACCAGAAAGUCACGGCUAACUACGUGCCAGCAGCCGCGGUAAUACGUAGGUGGCAAGCGUUAUCCGGAUUUAUUGGGCGUAAAGCGAGCGCAGGCGGUUGCUUAGGUCUGAUGUGAAAGCCUUCGGCUUAACCGAAGAAGUGCAUCGGAAACCGGGCGACUUGAGUGCAGAAGAGGACAGUGGAACUCCAUGUGUAGCGGUGGAAUGCGUAGAUAUAU